GCGAAGAACCUUACCAACUCUUGACAUCCCCCUGACCGGCGCAGAGAUGUGCCUUCCCCUUCGGGGGCAGGGGUGACAGGUGGUGCAUGGUUGUCGUCAGCUCGUGUCGUGAGAUGUUGGGUUAAGUCCCGCAACGAGCGCAACCCUUGUCCUUAGUUGCCACCAUUCAGUUGGGCACUCUAAGGAGACUGCCGGUGACAAACCGGAGGAAGGUGGGGAUGACGUCAAAUCAUCAUGCCCCUUAUGAGUUGGGCUACACACGUGCUACAAUGGACGGUACAAAGGGCAGCGAAGCCGCGAGGUGGAGCCAAUCCCAGAAAGCCGUUCUCAGUUCGGAUUGCAGGCUGCAACUCGCCUGCAUGAAGUCGGAAUCGCUAGU
Molecule: ribosomal RNA, 379 nt
Filed under: uncultured bacterium
Lineage: Bacteria
Description: bacterial SSU rRNA
Rfam family: Bacterial small subunit ribosomal RNA
Source: RNAcentral